This 253-nucleotide ribosomal RNA is filed under the name uncultured bacterium. RNAcentral's name for it is "partial 16S ribosomal RNA". It matches the Rfam family "Bacterial small subunit ribosomal RNA", at positions 524 to 776 of the family's 1533-position model. The record is from RNAcentral.
UACGUAGGGGGCAAGCGUUGUCCGGAUUUAUUGGGCGUAAAGAGCGUGUAGGCGGCCUGGAAGGUCAGCUGUGAAAACUCGAGGCUCAACCUCGAGACGUCGGUUGAAACCACCUGGCUAGAGUCCGGAAGAGGAGAGUGGAAUUCCCGGUGUAGCGGUGAAAUGCGCAGAUAUCGGGAAGAACACUCGUGGCGAAGGCGGCUCUCUGGGACGGUACUGACGCUGAGACGCGAAAGCGUGGGGAGCGAACAGG